CAAUGGUGUCUGGGUGUGAUUGGCUGAGUCCCUGUGUUUUCUGAUUGGGCCUUUUUUUUCACCUUGUUAUUUAUUGUUCGUCUCAUGCGACAUGGACAUGAGUAGCUGCUAUUAACGAGCUCCAUGGCUAAUCUUCCAAGAUCGACAGCCUCAAAUGCAAUUCUCUACAGUGGAGACACUUUCCUCUUUAGUACCCCCAGAGCUGGAACCUGGACAAAACUCCGUCAUCCACAGUUUGGACCACAACUAUGAAGUUGCAGGGUGCCCAUUUCAGCAAGAUGCAAGUGAAGGGAUCCCCUCUGAAGACAUGGCACCAGCUGUGGACACAGUGGGUCUGUGCAGAGCUUACUGAGGACAUGGGGUGAAUAAACCAAAGCCAUCUGCCAGGAUCGUAUGUAAAUCUAUGCUCGACCAAAUCAUACACAGAUUAUGGUCUUUAUUUUUGUACUGUCCUAGUGUUUGCUACGGUGAAUUGAUGGUCAAUUUGUUGUAUCUAACCAAUUUAAUUAGUACAGGAAGUGUGGGAGCACAAUGAAUUUUAACACCUGUACUGUUAAACAUUUUUCAUUGUUAUUUUUGUUUGUUUCUCAAUUUCCCUCGUCAUUUCUUUUCAUGAGCAGUCUCUGACCUAUCAGUGUUGUCUAUCUAGGAAGGUCUAAAAAGCCUCAGACCCCAACCAUGGGUAUGCUAAGUGAUGCAUGAUUUGCCUGAGCUUUCACGGGUUGGCUCUGGGUUUGGGCUUUUAUCGCAUAGUUCACCAUCGUAGAAUCUCAAGGAAGUUAAAUGUCAACCUGUGGAAAAUGUACAAAUAAUCAUAUGGUGAUUGUUUGCACAGCUACUGUGAUGAAAAACAUUCACUCGCAACAUAUUUUUCUGGGGUCUCUACAAAAUAAGCACAUUUAGUUACAUCUGCAGAGUUGGAUUUGUUGGCCUGGGCAUCUCUGUGGCACUACAAAGUUUUAUUUAUGUAACUACCUUUGUGCCUUUAUCAAACCUUUUGUUUCGCACACCUGUCAGACAUCUUACCUGUCUAUCUAGGAGCAUGUAUGUUUAAACAUUCAACAUCAAAUGUGAUGAAGUACAACAGACAUGUUUUGGGGGACAUAAGUUGGCCAUUAUAUAACUGUCAUUGGAUUAUGUCUUGUUAAACAACAACCAGAGAAAUAAAUGUAUUGUUUUAUCUCACUGUAA
This is a long non-coding RNA of Notolabrus celidotus (New Zealand spotty), 1191 nucleotides long. RefSeq lists it as uncharacterized. The transcript is spliced from 3 exons. NCBI's taxonomy places the organism in Eukaryota, Metazoa, Chordata, Actinopteri, Labriformes, Labridae. The record is from RefSeq and is a predicted model, not a curated record.